This 252-nucleotide ribosomal RNA is filed under the name uncultured bacterium. RNAcentral describes it as "partial 16S ribosomal RNA". It matches the Rfam family "Bacterial small subunit ribosomal RNA", at positions 524 to 776 of the family's 1533-position model. The record is from RNAcentral.
UACGUAGGUGGCAAGCGUUGUCCGGAAUUAUUGGGCGUAAGCGCGCGCAGGCGGUCCUUUAAGUCUGAUGUGAAAGCCCACGGCUCAACCGUGGAAGGUCAUUGGAAACUGGAGGACUUGAGUACAGAAGAGGAAAGCGGAAUUCCACGUGUAGCGGUGAAAUGCGUAGAGAUGUGGAGGAACACCAGUGGCGAAGGCGGCUUUCUGGUCUGUAACUGACGCUGAGGCGCGAAAGCGUGGGGAGCAAACAGG